CAGCGCGCGAGCUUACGCGGAGCGGCGGACAGCUCAGUAAUACAGUUACGAUUUACCCGGGGCAGCAAACGGAUAACCGUGGUAAGCUACGGCUAAGACGUGGACGCGCUGCGCGGGGGUGAGGCCGGCGCAGCGGACAGGACACGGCCGCGGCUAAGUUUCUGGCCUAUCAGCUAUUGGAAGGUAGGGUAAGGGCCUACCUUGGCGAUGACGGGUGACGGGGGAUGAGAGUCCGAUUCCGGAGAGGGAGCCUGAGAAACAGCUCCCACGUCUAAGGAUGGCAGCAGGCGCGAAACUUACCCAAUCUGCGGGAGGUAGUGAAGAGACGUGGGCACGAGGCCGCACACCAAAGACGUGCGGGCCCGACUGGAGGGCAAGUCUGGUGCCAGCAGCCGCGGUAAUUCCAGCUCCAGGAGCGCACAUACACGUUGCUGCAGUUAAAACGUCCGUAGUUGGCGCACGGCACUGUGAGACACGCAUAGCUCAAGAUAUGGAGCAGGCAUGGGACGCCGGCGACACAGGAACAGAUGAUGGCAAUAGGAUUGCGCAGUUAGAGGUGAAAAUCGAGGACCUGCGCAGGACUAUCGGAAGCGAAGGCGAUUGCCAAGGAUGUCUCCGUUGAUCAAGGACUUAAGCCGGAGGAUCAAAGAUGAUUAGAUACCGUCGUAGUUCCGGCUGUAAACGAUGCCGACUAGGUGAGGCCGCGGGGCUGUGCCUUAGGAGAAAUCAAGAGUGUUUGGGCUCUGGGGAUAGUACGGUCGCAAGACAGAAACUUAAAGAAAUUGACGGAAGGACACCACAAGGAGUGGAGUGUGCGGCUUAAUUUGACUCAACGCGGGGCAACUUACCAGGGCACGUGGACGGGCGAUUGGGUGCCUGGGCGGCGACCAAGAUGGUCCACGGAGUGGUGCAUGGCCGUUUGCAACACGUGGGGUGACCUGUCUGGUUAAUUCCGACAACGCGUGAGGCCGCAGACACAAGCGUUGUGUGACGGGCUGUGGCAAGCAGCAGGAGGCGCGGCGAUAACAGGUCAGUGAUGCCCUCGGAUGCUCUGGGCUGCACGCGCACUACACUGCCCGACGCAGACGCGGA
Molecule: ribosomal RNA, 1092 nt
Filed under: Microsporidium sp. RR1
Lineage: Eukaryota; Fungi; Microsporidia
Description: SSU rRNA
Rfam family: Microsporidia small subunit ribosomal RNA
Source: RNAcentral